ACGGAUCUCUUGGUUCUGGCAUCGAUGAAGAACGCAGCGAAAUGCGAUAAGUAAUGUGAAUUGCAGAAUUCAGUGAAUCAUCGAAUCUUUGAACGCACAUUGCGCCCAUUAGUAUUCUAGUGGGCAUGCCUGUUCGAGCGUCAUUUCAACCCUUAAGCCCUGUUGCUUAGCGUUGGGAGCCUACGGA
This 187-nucleotide ribosomal RNA is filed under the name Tubercularia sp. TF5. Its description in RNAcentral is "5.8S ribosomal RNA". The stretch from base 1 to 143 matches the Rfam family "5.8S ribosomal RNA". Rfam says of the family: 5.8S ribosomal RNA (5.8S rRNA) is a component of the large subunit of the eukaryotic ribosome. It is transcribed by RNA polymerase I as part of the 45S precursor that also contains 18S and 28S rRNA. Functionally, it is thought that 5.8S rRNA may be involved in ribosome translocation. The record is from RNAcentral. Lineage: Eukaryota; Fungi; Ascomycota; Sordariomycetes; Hypocreales.